Molecule: non-coding RNA, 71 nt
Organism: Astrocystis sublimbata
Lineage: Eukaryota; Fungi; Ascomycota; Sordariomycetes; Xylariales; Xylariaceae
Source: the annotation of a GenBank genome assembly
GUCCGGCUAGCUCAAUGGAAGAGCGUUCCUCUUUUGUGGAAUGGUUGCAAGUUCGAUUCUUGCGUUGGGCC